UGCACCCUCCGAAAGUCGGGUCUUGAAAGAGGAGAUGAUGAAUCUAAACCAACGUGUGGAGGGCUUGAGACAGUACCUGCUGGAAGAAGCUAAGAAAAAUCAGUUUCAACAGGUUGAGAGAACAAGUCCUUCGGGACCUGAUGGAGUACAUCAUAAAUAACUAUUACAUAUAUAUGUAUGUAUGACCUUGUUCGUAUCUUUCUCCUUCUCUCUCUCUAGAAAUGGAGAAAAAAUAAUCAAAAUGUGGGUUCUUUUUUUAGUUGAAUAAAAGAAGGGACAUAAGACACCCAUUGUUGUAUGCUUGUGAAGA
RNAcentral lists this long non-coding RNA (310 nucleotides) under Gossypium barbadense (sea-island cotton). RNAcentral's name for it is "long non-coding RNA (GBAR_LNC005459)". Lineage: Eukaryota; Viridiplantae; Streptophyta; Magnoliopsida; Malvales; Malvaceae. The record is from RNAcentral.